RNAcentral lists this ribosomal RNA (367 nucleotides) under uncultured bacterium. RNAcentral's name for it is "partial 16S ribosomal RNA". It matches the Rfam family "Bacterial small subunit ribosomal RNA", at positions 338 to 722 of the family's 1533-position model. The record is from RNAcentral.
CCUACGGGACGCAGCAGUAGGGAAUUUUGCGCAAUGGGCGAAAGCCUGACGCAGCAACGCCGCGUGAUCGAGACGCCCUUCGGGGUGUAAAGAUCUGUCAGUGGGGACGAAACUUGAUGGUACCCACAGAGGAAGCACCGGCUAACUCCGUGCCAGCAGCCGCGGCAAUACGGGGGGUGCAAGCGUUGUCCGGAGUCAGUGGGCGUAAAGAGUUCGUAGGCGGCACGUAAAGUCUGGUGUUAAAGGCAGAGGCUCAACUUCUGUACGGCACUGGAUACUGGCGGGCUAGAGUGCGGUAGAGGUAGGGGGAAUUCGUGGUGUAGCGGUGAAAUGCUUAGAUAUCAGGAAGAACACCGAUGGCGAAGGC